AAGCAUAAACUAUAACAGCUACCUCCACAGCAGUUCUGAGCAGAGGGAGCGGCCCCUUACCCUCUGUACAAGGGUUACUCUGCCUCUUUUCAGGGGGAUCCAUAAUUCAGACUUGUUAAGAGGAGGAGGAGGAGGAAGCAGAGGAGAGAAGGGAAGAAGAGAGGAGGUGGAGGGGGAAACGGGAUAGAGUAAUUUUAAGCACAAUUUUUAAGACACCAGUUGAAGCCUAAUUACCCUGCAGGCAAAUCCUCAGUUAUUCACAUCUCAAGUAAAAACUAAAUCUCAAGUUAUCUCAGGUACCAAAUAAACUGGGUCACCGAUGAUUACUUCUGGAAAACAGGAAGUUUGUUUCCAGUAUCCGGUGAAGACUGAGCAGAGCGAUAGCCCGCAGGCGUGGUGAUGGGGCCAGGGCCAUGAGCCAGUCUGCUGGGCUGUCAGAGCCACUCUGCACUGGCUUUCUGGAUAGUUCCAAGGGGAGUAUCACAGCACUGCUAUGUUUUCAUUCCCUCUGCAAGCCUGUAGUUGCUUCUCUUGUCCAAUUCACCACAACAUACUAAAAAUAAACAUGCCUUCCUGCUCUACCCGUAACUACUGUCCAUGGCACUGAAAGUGCCAAGUAGAAUGGACACCGGGAUUGAGAGGAAAAUAAUGGCCAUAUUCUCAGCCAGUCUGUAUAUAGGCUGGAUCCUACCCAGCCGCUUGCAGGGUCCCCAGGGCAGCCUGUCCUUGUUGGUCAGACGUGGGAUCCCUCUGCUUCCGGUCCUCUUCCUUGCCCCACGUCCCUUCUCUGAACAACACCUCCUUCACCUCAUGUCUCAGCAGAGAAGCCACUUGCCCAAGAAGGCUUUCCUGACUCCCGCAGGGAAGGGAGUGGCCCUUCCUGGGGCUCCCAUAAAGACCACAUUGAACCCAGUCUCUGCCCUGAAGUAGCUGGUGUGUGGUGAAGAGAGACGGGGAGAGAGACUGAGUUCAUAGGAGAUGCUCAAAAAUAUCUCAACAAUGAAUCCUCUAGACUACUUUUACAAAUAAAACGCAUGUAAAUUUGGUUUAGGUCAUCAGUAUGUGGGGAAAAUGGCAAAGAGGGUGCCUGACAGGAUCCAUUAGGACUGUCUUAGAAUCGGGCUCUCCUAAGCACCAAAAAUGAAGCAAAAGUUCUGGAAGAGGCAAUUAGAGGAUUCUGAGUAACAUUUAAGGAGGUUUACCCUUAGCUUCUUGGCUGGUAUAACAAGUUUUAAUUCAGCUUGGCUGCAGGUUGUAGAGAAAAAUCUUUGAGAUAUUUAAACCAAUAGCUGUGCUCCCCAUUAUAAGGAAAUAAAAAAAAAAAACACCAAAAAAAUGAAAACCGAUAUGAAUGUAGCAUCUUUAAAGAAUAAUAAAUUAGCUGGAACCAGCAUCCAAAUAGCAGUUCCCAAGAUGUCACUAUGUAAUUAUAGCUCAUCAGCGUAUGUCUUGCAUCUUCCAAAAUAACCCAUUACACUACCCUCUUUCUUCCCCAAACUGGGGAAGGAAAGAUGACAGCAGGCCUCAAAAAUAAUAACUAAAUGGUUCCUCACUAACAGGGGUGGCUUUCAGCUUUGAAUGUCCAAUAUUUUCUAGAAAUACAUCACCCACAAAGAAAUCUGAAAGUGUAUUCCUAGAACUCCAACUACCCUUAGUCAACUAACAGGGAUUUUCAUUAUGCUUUAGGGAUGAAGUGGUUUUUUUUUUUCUGUUGAAUUUCAAAUGAAGAGGAGAUUAUGACUCUGCAUUUACAGGACAACCAUCAGGUUUUGUUGAGUUGAGGAUAUAGAGGAGCCUCUGUGCCCAUGGCCUCUUUGGUGUGAUCACUCAAAAUGACUCACCGAUGAGACGGGACCAGGAGUCAUGGUGUCCACUCAGUCCCCUGAGGGGUCCAGCUGCAUAGAAGCAGUGGGCUCACAUGUUCACCCAAUAACAGCUGUGGGUGGAGCCUGGGUAAGUUCCACUGAACGAAUAAAUUUGAACAUUUUUAUAAAGCAGAGGUUAAAUCUUCAGUAUGACAUAGUUGGGGAAACUGCCCUUCACAGGGCAAGAAAUGUUUGCACUGUGUUUAGUAUUUUAAAUGCUUAAGGAAAAACAUUUUAGAUUGUACCUUAAAAAAAUAAGCAUUUGAAAUGCAUAAGAUGAAAUAUUUAGGUUAAACCAUCUGAAACUUUUCAGAUACAAUAAUUUACCAUGGAAAAUGAAAACAAAAAUUCAAAAUUGUUAUUUUCUACCUAUUAUUGCUGGGACGUCCCUUGCAAGAGAUGAAACUCAAAA
RNAcentral lists this long non-coding RNA (2277 nucleotides) under Sus scrofa (pig). RNAcentral's name for it is "lncRNA (ENSSSCG00025006082.1)". The record is from RNAcentral. Lineage: Eukaryota; Metazoa; Chordata; Mammalia; Artiodactyla; Suidae.